CGACCGGCGCACGGGUGAGUAACACGUAUCCAACCUGCCGAUAACUCGGGGAUAGCCUUUCGAAAGAAAGAUUAAUAUCCGAUAGGAUAUCAAGAUCGCAUGAUCUUGAUAUUAAAGAAUUUCGGUUAUCGAUGGGGAUGCGUUCCAUUAGUUAGUUGGCGGGGUAACGGCCCACCAAGACGACGAUGGAUAGGGGUUCUGAGAGGAAGGUCCCCCACAUUGGAACUGAGACACGGUCCAGACUCCUACGGAAGGCAGCAG
Molecule: ribosomal RNA, 261 nt
Filed under: uncultured bacterium
Lineage: Bacteria
Description: partial 16S ribosomal RNA
Rfam family: Bacterial small subunit ribosomal RNA
Source: RNAcentral